Molecule: ribosomal RNA, 549 nt
Filed under: Triticum aestivum (bread wheat)
Lineage: Eukaryota; Viridiplantae; Streptophyta; Magnoliopsida; Poales; Poaceae
Description: partial small subunit ribosomal RNA
Rfam family: Small nucleolar RNA Z247 (bases 403-541)
Source: RNAcentral
CUCUGGCGCACGCAGGUCACACCCCACCUACGGGGCGCCGGUGUCUUCGGCUACGUCGACGGCACCUCGCCGGAACCGGCCAGACUCCACGUCACCAAGGACAAAGACGGCAAGGAGACUUCUGCGCCCAACCCUCUCCACCCUCUCUGGGUCAGGGAGGACCAACAAGUGCUCGGCUACCUGCUGAGUACUCUCUCCAAGGAGGUUCUGGUCGCGGUCACCGCGAUCACCACGGCGCGUGAACUUUGGGUGGCAUUGGCGGGCAUGUUCUCGUCCCACUCCCUCAGCCGCGUCAACAACAUCCGCACUGCGCUCAUCAAUGUGCAGAAGGGCAACCAGUCGGUCGUCGCCUACUUCGCCUCUCUACGCGGCCUCGCUGAUGAACUCGCCGCCGCCGGGAAACCCAUCCAGGAUGACGAGUUGAUCUCGUACAUUCUCCAUGGGCUCGACAUCGACUACCAGCCGCUCGUCUCCGCCCUCGACGCCCGCGUCACGCCCGUCACGCUUGAUGAGCUAUAUGCCAUGCUGAGUAACUUCGAUCAGCGCAUG